AAUCAUUCUAGUGAUGACACAUGGCUACAAAAAGAAGUUGUAAUGUUUCACAAAUAAUAUAUAGGGGAUAUUAUAUAACUGAAUCAAUUUAUAAUAAUUGUGGAAUAGUUAUUAGUUAGUACACAAAAACUAUAAAAUAAAUUAAGAUUCGGCACAUUUAAAUAUUUAAUAAUAAAUAGUAAAUUAAAAAAAAUCAACAAAAAUUUUCUAUCGUGGAUGGUAAUAUAUACAUGUUUAAUAUUUUUGUAUCAAGAGUAAAAGUACUAAUAAAGUUACCAAAAAAAAAAGAGUAAAAAGUAAUAACAAGUGUCACUUACUACCUACCUCUCUAGUCGCGGUUAACAAAGCAAGAGUUUUUUUUUACUUUAUAACAUAUAUUAUUCAUGAUCUUUAUCGAUAGAUAGUGAAAGAAAGCAAUGUGUGGUGGUGAAAGACUUAAAAAUGAAAAAGCAAAAGACAAAUAAAUUAGGGGGAUGGGGAAAAAAGUAAAUCACGAGAGGAAGCGAAGCCAUUGGUAACAAGCGUGAGUCUGAGAUUUGUAUAAAGUUUAAUAGUGACUUCUCACUACCACAUUUCAUAUCUCCCUUUCAGAAAAAAAAAAAAAAAAACAAGAAACAUUAUGUUCAUUGUAUCCUUUAUAAGAACAAUUCUAUUGAUUUUACUAUAAUAUUGAUUGAUAAUUCUUGUAAUUGCAGAGUAAUUCUACAACUGGUUUCUGUAAUUUUUACCAGUCUCAAAACAUACCAAAUAUCGAUUUACAAUUUUUCUAUUUAAAUUAGAAUAUUUGCACUCUCUACCCACACAAUUAACCAUAUUUAGUGGUCUACCUAAAUACACUGUUGGCCACUGCCUUUAUUUUAAAGUUUUGUUCACUUUAUCGUCACUAUUUUCCUCAAAGUUUGACUGUGUUAGACAGAUUCUUAAUAGAUAAAUUAGGAUAGAUAUACACAUUUCGCACCAAUAUUAGGAAACUACCUGAUCUCUAUUUGUGCAUUGUGCAAUUUUGAUUAAUACCAUUUUAUCCCUACUCACUAAUGAAGGUACAAAAUCCUAUGGAAAGAUACGAUUUUAUUUCAGAUGAAAAGAGGAAAAUAGUAAAAUAAAAAAUAUGGGAGACACCAAAGAGAGAGAUACGAUAGAGAAAACAAAUGAAAGGAGGAAAGAAAGAAGAAGACGGUAGGCGUGGAGGUGAUGGGAGGGGCGGAGGCGACGAUAUAAUGGGAAGCGAUGGUAAAAGCCACAGGUAGCACAACAACUCGCUUCCAACGGUGACUCCUUCACUUCCUUUACCAUCCCCACCUCUGGCAACAUGAACCCUAGAUAAUUGCAUCAUGUUUCCAUCACUGCACCAGGUUAUGUACGCGCUUAUGUUCUCCCUGGUGCUGCAAGGGAGCUCGCCACAACGAUGUAUCAAGAUCUGGCUGCUAGUUAACCGAAAUUGGAUGUCCCAUUCUACGGAUAGUGUCAUAUGGAUUACCCCUCUCUGUGUUGGAUUUCAUUUGUUGAACCAUCUUUGUUUUAACUCACCUUUUUGUGUUAUACUGUUAUGUAUUAAACAUCUAUGGUCAUCGCUAUCUAUAACUUCUAUUAA
Molecule: long non-coding RNA, 1591 nt
Organism: Brassica napus (rape)
Lineage: Eukaryota; Viridiplantae; Streptophyta; Magnoliopsida; Brassicales; Brassicaceae
Exons: 2
Source: RefSeq, a predicted model, not a curated record